GAACACUUUGCGUAUGGAGAGUAAUUGAUUUGGAUAUAUGCAUUUUUUAGUAAACAAUUUUUACCUCAACCUCUGUGCUGUAGUCAAAAGUUUAUAAUUAUAUGAUAAAUAGAGGAAGUGGAUCUUCAAAAGCAUCAUCAUGCAGCCAAGAUUGUUCAUCGUCGCCAUCAUGGCUGUGAUGGCGGAAGAGGGUCUCUGCAAAGGAGAGAGAAAGGCCAGACACAUGAUGGACCGGCCGCUGACGGAGAACCGCCUGGACGCUGUGUC
This is a long non-coding RNA of Hyalella azteca, 267 nucleotides long. RefSeq lists it as uncharacterized. The transcript is spliced from 3 exons. The record is from RefSeq and is a predicted model, not a curated record. NCBI's taxonomy places the organism in Eukaryota, Metazoa, Arthropoda, Malacostraca, Amphipoda, Hyalellidae.